GACGAACGCUGGCGGCGUGCUUAACACAUGCAAGUCGUGCGGUAAGGCCCUUUCGGGGGUACACGAGCGGCGAACGGGUGAGUAACACGUGAGCAGCCUGCCCUUCACUUUGGGAUAACUGCCGGAAACGGUGGCUAAUACCGGAUAUGACUUCCUCACGCAUGUGGGGUGGUGGAAAGCCUUCGGGUGGUGGGGGAUGGGCUCGCGGUCUAUCAGCUUGUUGGUGGGGUGAUGGCCUACCAAGGCUUCGACGGGUAGCCGGCCUGAGAGGGUGACCGGCCACCCUGGGACUGAGACACGGCCCAGACUCCUACGGGAGGCAGCAGUGGGGAAUAUUGGACAAUGGGCGAACGCCUGAUCCAGCAACGCCGCGUGAGGGAUGACGGCCUUCGGGUUGUAAACCUCUUUCGCCUGCGACGAAGCGAGAGUGACGGUAGCAGGUAAAGAAGCACCGGCCAACUACGUG
This 466-nucleotide ribosomal RNA is filed under the name uncultured bacterium. Its description in RNAcentral is "partial 16S ribosomal RNA". It matches the Rfam family "Bacterial small subunit ribosomal RNA", at positions 28 to 507 of the family's 1533-position model. The record is from RNAcentral.